GUCACAGUGCUCAAAAUUUCUGGGUCAGAAGUUAGAUUUUGCCAGGCUGACAGAGAGUUUCUAACAUUGCCAGCCUUAAAACUGUCGCAUCGAAAUUUUAAGUAGUUCGUUAAAUUUUCAAUAGCAAGGGGAAAUUUACUUACCGAUAAUUUAAUCUUUUCAAGAGUGCUCAAGAUUUCCUGCCGGGUUUGGCUUUGAACAUCGGUUUUUUCUGGCCCUUCCCCCAAAAAUGAG
This is a non-coding RNA of Paramuricea clavata, 234 nucleotides long. The record is from the annotation of a GenBank genome assembly. NCBI's taxonomy places the organism in Eukaryota, Metazoa, Cnidaria, Anthozoa, Malacalcyonacea, Plexauridae.